CUCCGCCCUCCCCAAGAAAAAAGAGAGAAGAAGACACCACCCCUAUUUAUGAUUAUCGUCCUGCUGCUGCUGUUCCAAUCGCUGUGCCUCUACUGCCAACGUCUGGUGCUCUACGUCCACGACCGAUGCUUUCCAAAGAACGUGCGCCUGCUGCAGGAGGUGGCCGAAACGGUGGGCGAUCGUAAGGCACCACAGCGCCUGGCGGAGCAGCAGUUGGAGCAACAGAAGCGCAGCCAGAAGCGGCGCAUCCUCGAACCAAUUCUUCCGCUCGUUGGUGGCCUCAAUUCCGAGGCCUGUCGCUUUUGUGCACACAGUCCGCAGGGCUACUGUCGCCACCACUUCCAUCUGCAGGAGCUGCAGCUGCACAAGCAGAGGGGCUCCCGUGGUGAGCAGGAUUUCCGCCAGAUACGCCGAAUCAAGCGGGAGCUAAAGCGUAGUCUUGGCCAGCAGCAGCAGCAACUGCUGCCGGCGAGGAGCUACCGUCCAGUCCGCCUAAGUUCCAGCUGGAGCAGCAGCUCCCUGAGCAGUGGUUACGCGUCACUGACCAGCGUUGGAUCCCAGCUGGAGCUGGAGGAGGCGGCAUUGGAUCAGGAGAAUAUAGAGGACAUACCACUGAAGGAGGAAGUGGAGCUGCAGGACCCGCCGCAGGAGGAAACUCCACAGCGCCUAGUAACCACGUACUUGUAGAUAAACGCUUCUGACUCUAGCAUCUACUUGGAGUUCAUCUGGAACUGGAGACCACUACAAAGAGAUGCGGCUCACAUUAAGGAUGUAUUGAGAAAAAGGUAUAACAUAGUUAACCACUAGAUGAACCAAAGAACGAACAGCUACGACGCUGUAGACGCCACCCUUGAAGCCGCUCCUUAAACAAUUCCGACAACUUGAGAGCACCCUGGAGAAGCACAUCCACCCCAGCAAGCCAACCCCAUUGACAAGCUAACCCCCCAUACGGUUUGAAGGGUUCCCUUUGUCAAAUUGAUUCAAAUUGAGAAGCGAAAAAUUUCUAGUCGCAACACAAUGUCUGAUGUGGAAGUGGAUCCACAGCAGGCUCACCCCCAUCCAAUGGUGGCGAUUGCUCCGAGGAGACGUCGUCCAGGCGGCCGACGAGGAGGAGGAGGAGUAGGAGGAGGUUUGCAGACCGGUACAAUGGAUGCAGCUACGUCCUCGUCGCCGCCACCCCGUUUCUGUCCGCUGGCCGAGGGCGUCGAGGACAACUGGACGUGGAGCAAGCGGCAUCGCUCCAAGGAAGUAGUGCUCAGAGGCCCCAACUCGCGGACCGUGCACUUCCAUCCCAACUGGAGCAAGGGCACUGCCGGUGUCCAGGGCAAAAGAUCCCUGAACAACGGACGAUAUUACUGGGAGCUCCAUGUCUCGCAGCGGGUCUUUGGCACCUCGAUAAUGUUCGGUAUCGGUACCAAGUCCGCCCGGCUCCAUGCCAACGCCUUCCGGAACAUGCUGGGCGAGAACGAGCACGGCUGGGGAUUGUCCCACAAGGGCGUGCUCUGGCACAAGGGCGUGGCUCUGCUGUACACGAAGCGCUUCCGCGAGAAUCAGCCCACCCAGAUCGGAGUGCUCUUCGAUGGCAUCGAGGGCACACUCACCUUCUACAAGGACGGCAAGUGCCUGGGCGUCGCCUUCCGUGGAUUGGAUCAGAUUGAUGAGCCCUUGUACCCCAUUGUAUGCUCUACUGCCGCCAAAACGGAGAUGACCCUGAAAUGCACCAGGAGGGAGUUCGUCAACCUGCAAGAUCGCUGCCGGGCGGUAAUCAUGCGGCGGGUGCGGAGCGCAUCGCAACUGGAGAAGCUGAAGCUACCGCUGCCCAUCGCCGACUAUCUGAGAGAGGUGAUCGAUGAGAAGGAGCCACUGCGUCAGGUGAAUCAGCUGGAGAUGUGCAUUAUGAAUUACGAUUUGUAUGAGGCCCGUGAAUGAAUUAAGUGCCAUCACAUAUUGGAGUGUGCACACGUCUCCCAGAAGAUGCAGUGGCGCCUCUGGGACGUUUGGUGCAUUUCCCGUAGUAGAAAAAUGUGGGGAAAUAGGCCAAUUCGGUGCAAUAUUUGUGAUAUAAGAAAUGAGAGUACGAGUAUA
RNAcentral lists this unclassified non-coding RNA (2085 nucleotides) under Drosophila yakuba. Its description in RNAcentral is "GE11313". The record is from RNAcentral. Lineage: Eukaryota; Metazoa; Arthropoda; Insecta; Diptera; Drosophilidae.